Long non-coding RNA from Panthera uncia (snow leopard), 817 nucleotides. RefSeq lists it as uncharacterized. NCBI's taxonomy places the organism in Eukaryota, Metazoa, Chordata, Mammalia, Carnivora, Felidae. The record is from RefSeq and is a predicted model, not a curated record. The transcript has 5 exons.
AGGUUGGGUGUGGACGGAAGAACAAAGGUGCAGAAGGAGGCGGGAAAAGACACAGACGCAAGCUGAGGCGGCCGUGUGAAAUACCACAGGAGUUCAGGAAAGCUCAAGACUUUUCUCUGAUACUUACUGUGGGAAUCUGGUCGAGCUCCUGGAGCGGAAGUCGGCAUUGAUGGAAAGGAAGCCAUUUGCCAAAAGCUAAUGGUGGUGAGAGGGAUGUCUGUGUGUUCUACCGUAUCAGCUGGGUGUCACAAAGGUGGUUCAAUAUCUGCAGCAUUAGAAUGAGGGACAGUCUCCAGCAAAAUCAUAAUGGAACACACCCAAGUACUCAAUGUUGGCCAUUGGGUUUCCUGAUGCAAAUUACGUUUUCCCUGAAGCCUUGGGCUGCCUUGCGCAUGAAUAAUUUUUGGAGAAACACCCACGCCCGUUAGCCCAUUGUUCGUAACUAUUGGAAGAAGAUUAACCAGAGCCUGGAAAUUGUAUAUCUGCGUAUGCCUCUGAAUCUGUCACAGGAAACCAAAGGAGAUAAGUAGCUUUUACUUUGGAUGAAGAGACAAAAACAUUUAACAAGGUUAAAAAAUGAAACCCAGUGAAAAAGAUUGGAACGCAGUCAGAUAACCGGUGAGGUGACAGAUGGAGAAAACAACAGAAUGCAUGCCCCUUUGAAGGCCUUGUAAUCUUUGGAUUUAGUGUGAAAAGUUUCAGAAAAUCAUAGACUUUUACUGUGUCACUGUCUGUAGACCCUGGAAAAAUAACAGUAAAUUCAUGUAUAUGUACAUCUCCUCACUGCUUACCCAGAGUUACAUAAAUGCUUCCCAAA